RNAcentral lists this non-coding RNA (25 nucleotides) under Cricetulus griseus (Chinese hamster). Lineage: Eukaryota; Metazoa; Chordata; Mammalia; Rodentia; Cricetidae. The record is from RNAcentral.
AGGAAAAAAAGAACCAUUUGGCUAU